RNAcentral lists this ribosomal RNA (492 nucleotides) under uncultured bacterium. RNAcentral's name for it is "partial 16S ribosomal RNA". It matches the Rfam family "Bacterial small subunit ribosomal RNA", at positions 29 to 507 of the family's 1533-position model. The record is from RNAcentral.
AGUGAACGCUGGCGGCAGGCCUAACACAUGCAAGUCGAACGGCAGCACAGUAAGAGCUUGCUCUUACGGGUGGCGAGUGACGGACGGGUGAGGCAUACAUCGGAAUCUACUUUUUCGUGGGUGAUAACGUAGGGAAACUUACGCUAAUACCUCAUACGACCUACGGGUUAAAUCAGGAGAUCUUCGGACCUUUCGCGAUUGAAUGAGCCGAUGUCGGAUUAGCUUGUUGGCGGGGUAAAGGACCACCAAGGCGACGAUCCGUAGCUGGUCUGAGAGGAUGAUCAGCCACACUGGAACUUGGACACGGUCCAGACUCCUACGGGAGGCAGCAGUGGGGAAUAUUGGACAAUGGGCGCAAGCCUGAUCCAGCCAUACCGCGUGGGUGAAGAAGGCCUUCGGGUUGUAAAGCCCUUUUGUUGGGAAAGAAAAGCAGCAGGUUAAUACCCCGCUGUUCUGACGGUACCCAAAUAAUAAGCACCGGCUAACUUCGUG